Cricetulus griseus (Chinese hamster) is the source of this 702-nucleotide non-coding RNA. The record is from RefSeq and is a predicted model, not a curated record. Lineage: Eukaryota; Metazoa; Chordata; Mammalia; Rodentia; Cricetidae.
CAGAGGAGUGGAUCAGUACUUAUCUCUAGCAUAGGAAUGGACUUUGUGAGCCCAUCCCACAGCCCAUCCCUGAGCCUGGACACAAGGGGGUUGGCUUAAGCCCUAUCGCAAAGAAUAAGGACUUUGAAGACCUCUAUGGAAGGCCUCACCCUCCCUUGGGAGCAGAAAAGCCUGCUGAUUUAUCCAAGGUCACGGUGAGCCCACGCCUGAGAUGUGCUUUAUGCUCAGUGAAAAUGAGUAGAUCCUGCAGACAUCAAAUGAAACACAUUUGUACUGUGAAUUGAGAUUUGAUUUUCUGGCUGCCAGAGACAGCGCUACUGUGGAUUUGCAGCUGCAGAUGUCUAGAUCAUCUUUAUAAAGUCUCUGGAGUUAAAGGAAACAAUGACGGGAAAUACCAACUUGGCUUUAAAUGUCUUCAGAGAGAAGAAUAAAAUUAUGCACGUAUUUGCAUUCAGCAUGAGUGAAGGAAGAAUAAAUUAUCUGGACUUACAACUGUUCACAGUUAGUUUCAUUGGCAUUUUUUGUACAAUCGUCCUUAAUUUUGGAAAUGCAGCAAAGCAACAGUAAUCAUUUCGACUGUCUUUUUCUUCCACAUUUGCAAAAUACAGAUCUCCCUUUUGGCUCAUGUAUACUCUUUCAUCUUGUUCAAUGUGUUCUAAUUCUGCAAGGAAAAAAAUAAAUACAACCUUGUCACUGAAAUGG